RNAcentral lists this long non-coding RNA (286 nucleotides) under Ananas comosus (pineapple). RNAcentral's name for it is "long non-coding RNA (ACOM_LNC031633)". Lineage: Eukaryota; Viridiplantae; Streptophyta; Magnoliopsida; Poales; Bromeliaceae. The record is from RNAcentral.
UUGGGUGCGUGAAUGACGUGAACCUAUGCCGAGUGGCGGAAGAUGCGAUUGGGUCGAAGUUGAGAGUGAUAUGUCUCUAGUUGUGAAUAGAGAUGGAUUCAAGUGGUAUUAGUUCUUGGCUUGAAGUGGUUGUGUCAGCGGCCGACGAUAUGACGCUAAGAGUCUAGAAUGAGUACACUUGUGUGCUUCCGCCUGAUUUUAAUGUUAAGUCGCGUAAUUUCGGUAAUCGCGAAUGGGUUGAUGGGUUAAGUUAAUUGACCCGGUUGCUGCGUUUCAGGAACUAAUG